UACGUAGGUGGCAAGCGUUGUCCGGAAUUAUUGGGCGUAAAGCGCGCGCAGGCGGUCUUUUAAGUCUGAUGUGAAAUCUUGCGGCUCAACCGUAAGCGGUCAUUGGAAACUGAAAGACUUGAGUGCAGAAGAGGAGAGUGGAAUUCCACGUGUAGCGGUGAAAUGCGUAGAUAUGUGGAGGAACACCAGUGGCGAAGGCGACUCUCUGGUCUGUAACUGACGCUGAGGCGCGAAAGCGUGGGGAGCAAACAGG
Molecule: ribosomal RNA, 253 nt
Filed under: uncultured bacterium
Lineage: Bacteria
Description: partial 16S ribosomal RNA
Rfam family: Bacterial small subunit ribosomal RNA
Source: RNAcentral